UUUUUUUUUUUUUUUUUUUUUUUUUUUUUUGUCGUCUUCCUCUUGGGGCUGCACCGCCAGCCCCAGACAAAGCCGCUCACAGCAGGGCCAGCAGAGCAGUGCUUCCCCUUCCCUUCUCUGCCUGUGCCAAGGUCGUGCCUCGCCUCUUGCCAGGAGGAGCGUCCUGCCCACGACAGUGCCAGGCCUCAGCCCCCUGAGGCGGCCAUUCCGCCACCACUGCAGCGCUCUUUGCAAGCUGCGAGUUAUUUUGUGUUCUUGUUCUGCCAGGGGGCAGGCACACAGGUUCUGGAUAAUGCUGGGGCAGGACAAGCCUGCUUUAAGCCCCAAACCUGCCUCCUUUACUCGUCUCCUUUCAGGCCAGGCCUACCCUCUGGGCCCAGCAGCACGCAUCCUGCCAGACCCAGGACCCACAGGUUAGGCCCCGUGGUAAGAGGAAAGAGCCUCCAAAGUGUCUGUCCUAGGGUACAGAUGGGUGAGGCAGCCCCGUCACUGCACAAACACCCACAGGACACGUCACCAGAGCUGCUAUCAGCUUGGCAAUUAAGUACGUGGGAGAGGAGUCCACGGCACACAAGUAUUCACGUCUGCCCUGGACAAAGAAGUAAACAUUGGCUGUUUUUUUCCCAUUUAUAUAGCUAAAAGCACCGCUAACAGUUUAUUUCUUUGUGUCUAGCCUGUACUAAGUUUAAAGAAAAAAGCAGCUUCUGUUGAGGAGGUGGAAGAUGCUGUCAGCAGAAACACCGUGCCUGGAAUGUGAGCAGGGAAGACAGCGAUGCUGCAAAAUAAAGCUUUUACAACCUCUUCAUAUCAGUUGGCCUGGGCUCCAAGGGUCAGACACCCAGCUGGGAAGCUGUAGAUUGAAUUUCCUCGUUGAUAGCCUUGCCCAGCUCAAUCUUGUCAUCCUGACUUGGCUCCAGAGAAAGCGUCUUAUUAAAGGCACAGAGAAGCAACAGCUUCUCAACCAAAAACUAGGAGUUAAAGCAAUCCAGUGAAAAAACUGUGCUUGGGAACAAGGAUAUUUCAGAGGCUAGUUGCUUUUAUUUCUCAUUGUCACUCUUGUCUUGGCAAAGGGCCUCUACAGAGGCAAAAGAGUCUCAGCACUGAGGCAGGACAUAGCUCAAACACCAUCCCCAGAAGGUAGAGAUCAUAGCCUUGACUCACCCUAAAGGCAUCGCAGAAAGGGCACCAGGCCCUACUUGCACGCUCUGCCUUACUCAGAUGAGAAGCUCAGCCAUCCAUCCAGAACCAGGAGAAGAUGUGGGAUUGAUUUCACAAGCUGGUAGACACACUGAGGACGUCACAGUUACAUGUGGGCACAUUUUAUUCUCUGGAUGCACUUGCGCAUUGUUUCUGCUCAACAGCCAAAGCUUUAUUGAUUCAAAACCAUUUCCCGUCUCCCCCACCCCCAGCAUGUUUUAUUUAUUUAUUUAUUUUAAUUUUUGUAUAUGUACCCCCUUUCCCACCCCUCAACUGCUCGUCCACUUCUGAUUUGAGUAUUAUCUCUGCUUGGAGUCUGUUUUCUCAGAAGAAGCUAACUGAUAAUUCAUUCAAAAUUUUUUUUUCUCCCAAGAACCAUAUAAAUUACAUGCAAAACAUUGUACAUAGAGAUUAAUAUCAAAAUGCAAUACAGAUCAGGUGCACUUUAAGCUGGACUCUAGGAUAUGGCAAACACACCAGGGUACAUAUUGCUUUGAAACCACCAUUUUUUUAAUGUCAUGCAUACCACAUAAUAUUCAGCCUUUGUUUUGUAUUUUUCUGUUUUUAUACAAAAAUACCAGUGCUUAUUAUACUAGUUACUGGAAAAGAAAAAAAAAAAAAGAAUCAGAUCUGCGUGCCCUCUUCAAAUCAAAAUUUUUUUGUGAGAGCACUGGAUAAAUAUAUAUACACACACAAAUGUUGGUUUAAUACUGUAUAUAUAUAUAUAUAUAUAUAUAUUAAGGGGAGGAAAUAAACUAAAGGCAGUUUUAGCCAUGGGCUUCUUUGAAGGAAAAUUGAUUUUUAUUUUAUUUUUUUUCUGUUGAGCAGGAGGAUAUCAGAGACAGGCCAGAGAGACCAGCCAGCCUCAGUAGGGGACAGCCUUGGCAAAGAGAUGCUGGAGAGGAAUAGCUACGUGCCAAGAACCCUGCUGGCACUGCCCCCCAACCUCCCUGGCUGGGGCAGGAACAGAGGAGCAUCACCCCUCAUCACCGUGCACCGCUGCUUAGGAGAUUUGGGGCUGCAGGAGUGCAGUUUACAGGUUGCAUGCUCCGGGGGCUGAUGAACUUGUAGGAGCUGGACACAGUGGUGGGGAACAACUACUGGUGGGUACAAGCAUCCUUCCCCCUGAGAGGUACAGAAGCCUGCAGGGAUUAUUCUUUGAGGUCCCUGCAGUUAUGCAAGGGCUAUGGAGGGCAACAGGAGCUGGCAAAAGCAUUGUGGAGGUGUGCUUCUUGGAUUUGGGAUGGGGAUUUCCCAUUAACCCCAACAUCUUGUCACCACAAGAAGCAUUUCUACAGGGGCUCAGCACUACAGCUACCCCUUGGCCGGGGAAAGCCAAAGGCUGCCCAUGCUAAAAUGUGGUUUAGUUUUUUUCCUUCUUGAGAUUGUUUUAUUUUAUUUUUUUUUUAUUUUAAGCUUAUUGCACAAAACCUUUGAAAAUUAAGUAUAAUCCCUGUGCAAAUCAAAGAAAACCUAAUCACAGAAUGCAAAUGCCUAAAAAUGCCUGUUCAGCAAUGCACACAGGACAUGAUGUAAUGUCUUUGGUACUAACCUGCCAAUUUAUUUCACAGAAAACCACCACCACCAGAGACCCUACUGUUAUUAAGAACUGGAUGCAAAAUUAUGUUCAGAGUGUUUUAAUAACAAAGCAUUCCAAGGCAAGUUAACACAUAUCACAGGGUAUGACUUCGGUUCCUGUCUGGCAUGGCACUCUCCCCCGUGCACACUCGUGGCAGUUCAAACAAAGCAAAAAAUAAAAA
Long non-coding RNA from Cygnus olor (mute swan), 2957 nucleotides. RefSeq lists it as uncharacterized. NCBI's taxonomy places the organism in Eukaryota, Metazoa, Chordata, Aves, Anseriformes, Anatidae. The record is from RefSeq and is a predicted model, not a curated record. The transcript has 2 exons.